This 493-nucleotide ribosomal RNA is filed under the name uncultured bacterium. Its description in RNAcentral is "partial 16S ribosomal RNA". It matches the Rfam family "Bacterial small subunit ribosomal RNA", at positions 28 to 506 of the family's 1533-position model. The record is from RNAcentral.
GACGAACGCUGGCGGCGUGCUUAACACAUGCAAGUCGAACGGUGAAGCGCCUUCCUUUUUGGUGGGUGUGGAUGAGUGGCGAACGGGUGAGUAACACGUGAGUAACCUGCCCCCUUCUUCUGGAUAACCGCAUGAAAGUGUGGCUAAUACGGGAUAUUCUGGGUCUGUCGCAUGAUGGGUCUGGGAAAGAUCUUGUUUCGGUGGGGGAUGGGCUCGCGGCCUAUCAGCUUGUUGGUGGGGUGAUGGCCUACCAAGGCGGUGACGGGUAGCCGGCCUGAGAGGGUGGACGGACACACUGGGACUGAGACACGGCCCAGACUCCUAAGGGAGGCAGCAGUGGGGAAUAUUGCACAAUGGGCGCAAGCCUGAUGCAGCGACGCCGCGUGAGGGAUGGAGGCCUUCGGGUUGUGAACCUCUUUCGCCAGUGAAGCAGGCCUGCCUCGUUUGUGGGUGGGUUGACGGUAGCUGGAGAAGAAGCGCCGGCUAACUACGU